AUAUUUUAUGAAGAUUUUUAUUAAAAAUAGUACUCAUAAUUAGCAAAUAUUGUGGUAAAUUGAUCAUUUUCUUGGUCAAAACUACAUUUUCGGUGCUAAAGGUGCUAGUAAGCUUGCGAAACUAAAAUUAAUAUGAAUAUGUAAGAAUAUCAGCGAUCUACGAACAUCUGUUCGACGGCUGUUGAAUGCAUGUCUAUAUCAUGUAGAAUGUAACAGCAGAUAUUGUGCUUGAUUUGCUUAGCUUGUUUUGGCUUAUUUGGCUAUUUUCGACAUCACUGUUUAAAACUGGUUGCCUCUGAAUGUCAGUUUAUCUCUCUCCCUCUCUUUGUUAAUCUCGCCACGCUAUUUUAAAGCAACACGUUCCCUCUCCCCUCUCUCCAAGUACUUUCGUCUCUUUCUUCGCGAUCGUUGUUGCUUUUUUCUGACAAACAACGCGUUGGACGAUGAUAAACAGAGGCGAGUGGAAAACUACCAGGGAAUUUACGAUGGAAGCAAUUGUUUUUGCGUCUUAGAUUUCACUCUGAAAUGGAAGAAUUUUCCACUAAACGGAAAGACUGGGCUGGUUGCAACUCAGAUGCACCAAGAAGUCUCCUCCAAAUGACCUUCGACUGGCUGUGGUCUGGCGGUAUCCAUUGCCGUUGUCGAUACCACAUAUCCAGCUAUGCAUCCAUGCUACAGAUUCCCUUUUCCGAAGGUUUGUAGGUUUCCAUUUCACUUGUCCAGCUGUGGAACAGUCUGUUUUCUUCGGAACCUUAAGAGGCAGUGCUCUGUCUGGACAAAACUCAAAUGCUUCUAUCCGUGAACACCAAAUGGAGAGCACUCUUCUUCUGGUAUGGAGGAUUUCCCUGAGGUUCACCCACACAGCCACACAAAUUGACUCUCUCUUGUGCAGAAAC
RNAcentral lists this long non-coding RNA (896 nucleotides) under Drosophila guanche. Lineage: Eukaryota; Metazoa; Arthropoda; Insecta; Diptera; Drosophilidae. The record is from RNAcentral.